This 233-nucleotide long non-coding RNA is filed under the name Ananas comosus (pineapple). Its description in RNAcentral is "long non-coding RNA (ACOM_LNC043382)". Lineage: Eukaryota; Viridiplantae; Streptophyta; Magnoliopsida; Poales; Bromeliaceae. The record is from RNAcentral.
ACAGUUACUACCAUUUUAUAUGGUCAUGAUGUAAGGACUGAGAUUUUUACAGUGCAACUAAAUCUGUUGAUGAUGUUUAUGUCUGUAAUUUAAUUACAUAAGCACUCGUCAAGUUUCAGGAGAAAAUGAGCUAGAACGGAGAAGUUACGCGAUUAUUAGUUUUCACGUAAAGUGAAUAGUAACCCGAUUUUCCGGAGAAGCUACGGAGUAGAGUUGGCUUUCGGCAUGUAUCG